This 81-nucleotide transfer RNA is filed under the name Hypsibius dujardini. It matches the Rfam family "tRNA". Rfam says of the family: Transfer RNA (tRNA) molecules are approximately 80 nucleotides in length. Their secondary structure includes four short double-helical elements and three loops (D, anti-codon, and T loops). Further hydrogen bonds mediate the characteristic L-shaped molecular structure. tRNAs have two regions of fundamental functional importance: the anti-codon, which is responsible for specific mRNA codon recognition, and the 3' end, to which the tRNAs corresponding amino acid is attached (by aminoacyl-tRNA synthetases). tRNAs cope with the degeneracy of the genetic code in two manners: having more than one tRNA (with a specific anti-codon) for a particular amino acid; and 'wobble' base-pairing, i.e. permitting non-standard base-pairing at the 3rd anti-codon position. The record is from Rfam by way of RNAcentral. Lineage: Eukaryota; Metazoa; Tardigrada; Eutardigrada; Parachela; Hypsibiidae. RNAcentral also lists the same sequence under 1 other name.
GCCGUUGUGUCCGAGUGGUUAAGGAGUUUGACUCGAAAUCAAAUGGGUUCUCCCGCACAGGUUCGAAUCCUGUCGACGGCG